AGCAGUAGCCGCGGUAAUACGUAGGGUGCAAGCGUUAAUCGGAAUUACUGGGCGUAAAGCGUGCGCAGGCGGUUCGCUAAGACAGAUGUGAAAUCCCCGGGCUUAACCUGGGAACUGCAUUUGUGACUGGCGGGCUAGAGUAUGGCAGAGGGGGGUAGAAUUCCACGUGUAGCAGUGAAAUGCGUAGAGAUGUGGAGGAAUACCGAUGGCGAAGGCAGCCCCCUGGGCCAAUACUGACGCUCAUGCACGAGAGCGUGGGGAGCAAACAGGAUUAGAGACCCCUGUAGUCCCUGUCUCUUAUAC
RNAcentral lists this ribosomal RNA (303 nucleotides) under uncultured bacterium. RNAcentral describes it as "partial 16S ribosomal RNA". It matches the Rfam family "Bacterial small subunit ribosomal RNA", at positions 507 to 807 of the family's 1533-position model. The record is from RNAcentral.